RNAcentral lists this ribosomal RNA (111 nucleotides) under uncultured eukaryote. RNAcentral describes it as "partial small subunit ribosomal RNA". It matches the Rfam family "Eukaryotic small subunit ribosomal RNA", at positions 1676 to 1808 of the family's 1831-position model. The record is from RNAcentral.
UCGCUACUACCGAUUGAAUGGUAUAGUGAGGUCUCCGGAUUGCCUUUUGGCGAGAUGCUGAACAAACUAUUUCAUUUAGAGGAAGUAAAAGUCGUAACAAGGUUUCCGUAG